This is a non-coding RNA of Trichonephila clavipes, 71 nucleotides long. The record is from the annotation of a GenBank genome assembly. Lineage: Eukaryota; Metazoa; Arthropoda; Arachnida; Araneae; Nephilidae.
AUCUCUGCAGUGCAAUGGAUAGCAUUGGACUUCUAAUCCAAAGGUCGUGGGUUUGAAUCCCACCUGGGAUG